RNAcentral lists this ribosomal RNA (375 nucleotides) under uncultured bacterium. RNAcentral describes it as "bacterial SSU rRNA". It matches the Rfam family "Bacterial small subunit ribosomal RNA", at positions 524 to 898 of the family's 1533-position model. The record is from RNAcentral.
CACGGGGGUUGCGAGCGUUAAUCGGAAUUACUGGGCGUAAAGCGCACGCAGGCGGUCUGUCAAGUCGGAUGUGAAAUCCCCGGGCUCAACCUGGGAACUGCAUCCGAAACCGGCAGGCUAGAGUCUUGUAGAGGGGGGUAGAAUUCCAGGUGUAGCGGUGAAAUGCGUAGAGAUCUGGAGGAAUACCGGUGGCGAAGGCGGCCCCCUGGACAAAGACUGGCGCUCAGGUGCGAAAGCGUGGGGAGCAAACAGGAUUAGAUACCCUGGUAGUCCACGCCGUAAACGAUGUCGACUUGGAGGUUGUGCCCUUGAGGCGUGGCUUCCGGAGCUAACGCGUUAAGUCGACCGCCUGGGGAGUACGGCCGCAAGGUUAAA